Myotis daubentonii (Daubenton's bat) is the source of this 3889-nucleotide long non-coding RNA. RefSeq lists it as uncharacterized. Lineage: Eukaryota; Metazoa; Chordata; Mammalia; Chiroptera; Vespertilionidae. The record is from RefSeq and is a predicted model, not a curated record.
GUACCUGGGUUGCAGGCACAUCCCCAGUAGGAGAUGUGCAGGAGGCAGCUGAUCGAUGUUUCUCUCUCAUCGAUGUUUCUAACUCUCUAUCUCUCUCCCUUCCUCUCUGUAAAAAAUCAAUAAAAUAUAUUAAAAAAAGAAAUUUCAAUCAUUGUAUUGUUGAUAUUUGGCUGUGUUGACUAAUGAGUUUGCCGACCACUGGUCUAGAAGAUGAGAAGAGCAGAGUCAAGCAUAGGAUAUAGACUUGGGCCUCUCAAGUUAGGCCUGAGAGCCCAUGUAGAUAAAGCUGGAUCUCUCAGGAAGGUGUGAGGAGUCUGAGUUGGCUAUAAGUUGAGAUGCAGGCAGGUACGGGAAACUUGGUCCAUUAGCGGAGCUGUCUAACUCCUGCCUCUGACGGGUGUGUGACCGUGCAGUAUGAGGUACUGGAAUAGGACACAGACAGAGCUAACCUCCCAGGGGAAGGAAGCCUUUGCAUCCAUGCCCAAUGCUGGCUUUGUCAGUGAGACCAUUGAUCCAGGGUCAUAUGGGCAGAGGUGUAGAAACAUGAUCUUAGGUGGGUUCUUGCCACCUGGAUUCAGGUACAGAUUGGCAUCCUUGGGCUUGUUAGGCAAAAUGAGUGGGCAAGAUUUAGCCCAGAAAUGCAUAAUUGGUGUGGCUGGUGAGUCCUGAGAAGGAGGGUCAGACACAGGUGGGAACUUCCGUGGUAGGAUUCGACAAGGUCAUAUGGGCGGUGUGAGGCUCUCAUCCCGGAAAAGACAAAGUCAUUCUAGGAAUGUGUGCCUGGGUCUGCCUGGGAAGGACUUGAGAGCCCUUAGGAUCGGGGAGGACAGAUAGAGUGCCCCAAGCUCGAUCAGCAUCCUGGUCAGGUGUGAUGGGCAGAGCUCAAGGUAUUCUAGAGGCCUGAGGAUCCAUUACUAGUCUGAGGUGUGGUCUGUAGUGUGGUUGGCAUAGGGCCUGACUUACCCAGGUGAGGAAAAAGAUAGAGUUAUGUCUUAUUAGAUAAAGAGGUCUGGGGCACAGGGCAGCACAGAUUGUUGAAUGGCUGAGGAGCUACAUCUAUAAGAUGUGGUCUAAGAGGCCCACUGCAGCUACAGGUGAGGUCUAGAGACCUGUGUUUGCAGGUUGAGGUUUUAGAGUCUCAAGUCAGACACUAGCAUUGCUGGGCUUUCCAAAAACGUGAGGUCUGUUGACCUAGCCUCAGCCAAGGUCAGCAGCUUGGAAUCUGUCAGUCUGAGGGCUUGCUAGUUCUCAGUCCGGUUUCUAGAAUUGAGUCUGUUUGUUGAGAUCUGAGAGCCUGUGUCAGGCAUGGUGUGGCCAGUGAAACUGUGUCUGUCAGGUAAGGUUCCCCCAAACCUGGACCCUUUCCAGGUGAGGGCGCCCACCAUUCGUCUUUAUUACCCAGGCCAGAGACCUCUGGGCCACACUUGGUUCUCUCAUUCUCCCAAUUCAUCCUGUUUGAUUGAACCUCCUGAACCUGCACCCCCAGGGUAGUAGUCUCUGGAUGACCACUGGGGGUCCUAAGUGGUUUCCUGUUUCCAUUUUCACCCCUCCCAGACUUCUCCCUUCUCCAGCCUUGCCUCUCAGCUUCUACCCUCCAGCCCCCACUCCUUUCUUCAUCUUCUAGAUUGUGCUGUGUUUCCUCCUGGCCAGCCUAUUUCAAUGGGGUUCCAGUAGAGAAUAAGGGGUACUAGGCUCAAGUACCCCUCAGAUUUCUUUUAUUUUAUUGAUCUUUGAGAAAGGAAGGGAAGGAAGGAGAGAGAGAGAGAGAGAAGAGAGAUGCAUCGAUUAGCUAGCUGCCUUCCGUACAUUACCCAACUGGGGAUUGAACCUGCAACCCAGGUAUGUGCCCUGACCAGGAAUCAAAACAGCAACCUUUUGGUGCACAGGGCAGUGCUCAACCAGCUGAACCACUGCAGCCAGGCGAGUUCUGAGGAUUCUGAUGACACAAAGUAGAAUCUGUAAUAUGGCAUGAAAAGGCACAGUGUGAAUAAAUAGUAGGCCUGGUGUGUCUUGGGGCUGAGGCUGAGGUGAUCAGUGAAGCUCAAGUAUGAGCACCUGGGCCUGUGGGUGUGUCAGGAGGCAGGCUGGGCACAGGUAUGAGGCACUGAGUCUGCUAGUCUGAGGAUACAGACAUGGCACAGGUACAAGGCACUGGGUCUGUCAGUGUUCAAGGAGGUAAACUAAGCACAAGUUUGAGGCACUGGCACUGUGGGUGUCUGAGGAGCCUGACCAGGCACAGGUAUGAGGUUCUGGAUCUGUGGGUGUCUGAGGAGCCUGACCAGGCACAGGUAUGAAGUUCUGGAUCUGUGGGUGUCUGAGGAGCCUGACCAGGCACAGGUAUGAGGCGCUGGAUCUGUGGGUGUCUGUGAGGCCUGACCAGGCACAGGUAUGAGGUUCUGGAUCUGUGGGUGUCUGAGGAGGCCUGACCAGGCACAGGUAUGAGGUUCUGGAUCUGUGGGUGUCUGAGGAGCCUGACAAGGCACAGGUAUGAAGUUCUGGAUCUGUGGGUGUCUGAGGAGCCUGACCAGGCACAGGUAUGAGGCGCUGGAUCUGUGGGUGUCUGAGGAGCCUGACCAGGCACAGGUACGAAGUUCUGGAUCUGUGGGUGUCUGAGGAGACUGACCAGGCACAGGUAUGAGGCGCUGGAUCUGUCGGUGUCUGAGGAGCCUGACCAGGCACAGGUACGAGGCGCUGAAUCUGUGGGUGUCUGUGAGGCCUGACCGGGGUAUGAGGUUCUAGGUUUGUGGGCAUCUAAGGAGGACUGACCAGGCACAGAUAUGAAGUUCUGGAUCUGUGGGUGUCUGAGGAGCCUGACCAGGCACAGGUAUGAGGCGCUGGAUCUGUGGGUGUCUGAGGAGCCUGACCAGGCACAGGUAUGAGGCGCUGGAUCUGUGGGUGCCUGAGGAGCCUGACCAGGCACAGGUAUGAGGCGCUGGAUCUGUGGGUGCCUAAGGAGGCCUGACCAGGCACAGGUAUGAGGCGCUGGAUCUGUGGGUGUCUGAGGAGCCUGACCAGGCACAGGUAUGAGGUUCUGGAUCUGUGGGUGCCUGAGGAGGCCUGACCAGGCACAGGUAUGAGGUUCUGGAUCUGUGGGUGCCUGAGGAGGCCUGACCAGGCACAGGUAGGAGGUGCUGGAUCUGUGGGUGCCUGAGGAGGCCUGACCAGGCACAGGUAGGAGGCGCUGGAUCUGUGGGUGCCUGAGGAGGCCUGACCAGGCACAGGUAUGAGGUGCUGGAUCUGUAGGUGUCUGAGGAGCCUGACCAGGCACAGGUAUGAGGCGCUGGAUCUGUGGGUGCCUAAGGAGGCCUGACCAGGCACAGGUAGGAGGCGCUGGAUCUGUGGGUGCCUGAGGAGGCCUGACCAGGCACAGGUAUGAGGUUCUGAAUCCGUGGGUGUCUGAGGUGCCUGACAUGGCACAGAUAUGAGGUUCUGGAUCUGUGGGUGUCUGAGGAGCCUGACCAGGCACAGGUAUAAGAUUCUGGAUCUGUGGGUUUCUGUGAGGCCUGACCAGGCACAGGUAUGAGGCGCUGGAUCUGUGGGUGUCUGAGGAGACUGACCAGGCACAGGUAUGAGGCGCUGGAUCUGUGGGUGUCUGAGGAGCCUGACCAGGCACAGGUAUGAGGCGCUGAGUCUGUCAGUGUUUGGAGAGGCUGAACCUGGCACAGGUAUGAGGCACUGGGUCUUUCAGUGUCUUAGGAGACGACCCAGCUACGGUAAGGUCUCCGAUUGCGUCUUCUGGCUCUGCUCAGUCCCAGCACCGGCCAGAGGUGGGUGGGCCCAGGCCCUCUGAGCUGCACCUGUGAAGAGCUUUGCUCCCAGGGGAGCAAGUUUUGUGGCAGGGGGGAGGGGGCGGGAAUGCCAACCCUUCCUCAGCACCAUUUCCUGUCUC